UACGUAGGGGGCAAGCGUUGUCCGGAUUUAUUGGGCGUAAAGCGCGCGCAGGCGGUCCUUUAAGUCUGAUGUGAAAUCCCACGGCUCAACCGUGGAAGGUCAUUGGAAACUGGGGGGACUUGAGUACAGAAGAGGAAAGCGGAAUUCCAAGUGUAGCGGUGAAAUGCGUAGAGAUUUGGAGGAACACCAGUGGCGAAGGCGGCUUUCUGGUCUGUAACUGACGCUGAGGCGCGAAAGCGUGGGGAGCAAACAGG
RNAcentral lists this ribosomal RNA (254 nucleotides) under uncultured bacterium. Its description in RNAcentral is "partial 16S ribosomal RNA". It matches the Rfam family "Bacterial small subunit ribosomal RNA", at positions 524 to 776 of the family's 1533-position model. The record is from RNAcentral.